CUCCCCCACCCGAAGAAAGUGCAGCGGUUCCCUCUGCGCCCCCGCGCGCCCCGCCCGGCGCCGCCCCACGCCUCAGGCCCCUUUUCCAGUCGGGGCGGGGAGGAAAAGGGGUCGAGGACCCGGGACCGUGGGGCGCGUCGCGGCUCCUGUGGGUCGCGCCCUUGGCCCCGUCGCCCAGCCCAGAGAAGCCCGCUCCGCGUGGAGGCGGGUCCUCCAGGGCCUCCCCCACAGCCGGUCCUGAGCCCGGACGUCUCGCCCGCAACCCAGAGGCGCCGGGGUCCACUGCUGCCAGCCUGCAGCCCAGGGGAGGGCUGGCUCGGCCGUGUAGCCUCAAAGCCCGGGCUCCCCGCCCGCAGGGCCAGCGCGCCGGGCAAGACCCUCCAGCGCGCCCUGAGUUUGCGCGCCUCGCACGUCCAGAUGUCCAAGUGCGAACCCCUCGGAAGCGGAGCCCUGCAUCAGUCACCACCGAGAAAGGCAAAUGCUAGCUUGAAAUGAAAACAUCAGAGAGAAAAAUCCUUUCGGAAUGAGGGGCCCUGGCUGGCUUUGCCACCACGGAAGGUUCCAGAGACACGGCAGAGCCAAAGGCAAAUUAAAACACACCCUGUCAAAAGAUUUCCGCUGUCUCCCAAGUAUUUAUUUUUUGGAACUUGGCGAAGGAGGGUUUAAUUAAGACACCCUCAGGCGGGAGCCUUGUGCAGAGUGGAAGAGGCUGACGGUUCUUGGGAGUCCAUCAGGACGGCUCGGAGCAUGCGGCUCAGGUCAGGGGCAGAAGGCAUGGUCAGCUCCGGGGGCUGCGCAGACCCAGCUUCCCUGGCUGCAAGCCCUCAAGGAGCUCCACCAGCUAAGUGUUCUAAUAAAGCGUG
Molecule: long non-coding RNA, 863 nt
Filed under: Ursus americanus (American black bear)
Lineage: Eukaryota; Metazoa; Chordata; Mammalia; Carnivora; Ursidae
Description: lncRNA (ENSUAMG00000012764.1)
Source: RNAcentral